This is a long non-coding RNA of Oncorhynchus keta (chum salmon), 824 nucleotides long. RefSeq lists it as uncharacterized. NCBI's taxonomy places the organism in Eukaryota, Metazoa, Chordata, Actinopteri, Salmoniformes, Salmonidae. The record is from RefSeq and is a predicted model, not a curated record. The transcript is spliced from 5 exons.
CAGCCAGAGAGACAGGACGUCGUCAGACAGAGAGACAGGACGUCGUCAGACAGAGAGACAGGACGUCGUCAGCCAGAGAGACAGGACGUCGUCAGACAGAGAGACAGGACGUCGUCAGACAGAGAGACAGGACGUCGUCAGACAGAGACACAGGACGUCGUCAGACAGAGACAUGCUGUGCAUUAGAGGGGUAACAGUAGUCAUGUAGGGAAGCCCUUUAAAAAUAUAAAUGAGUGUUUCUGCAUUAGAACUGUAACGGUUUACCUAAAGGGUAUUUCUCUGCUAAUCAUUCACAGAGGUUGUGAUGUUGGAAAGGGCCCCUCUUACCUAAAGAGUAUUUCUCUGCUAAUCAUUCACGGAGGUUGUGAUGUUGGAAAGGGCCCCUCUUACCUAAAGGGUAUUUCUCUGCUAAUCAUUCACAGAGGUUGUGAUGUUGGAAAGGGCCCCUCUUACCUAAAGGGUAUUUCUCUGCUAAUCAUUCACAGAGGUUGUGAUGUUGGAAAGGGCCCCUCUUACCUAAAGAGUAUUUCUCUGCUAAUCAUUCACGGAGGUUGUGAUGUUGGAAAGGGCCCCUCUUACCUAAAGGGUAUUUCUCUGCUAAUCAUUCACGGAGGUUGUGAUAUUGGAAAGGGCCCCUCUUACCUAAAGGGUAUUUCUCUGCUAAUCAUUCACAGAGGUUGUGAUGUUGGAAAGGGCCCCUCUUACCUAAAGGGUAUUUCUCUGCUAAUCAUUCACAGAGGUUGUGAUGUUGGAAAGGGCCCCUCUUACCUAAAGGGUAUUUCUCUGCUAAUCAUUCACAGAGGUUGUGAUGUUGGAAAGGGCCC